GAUGAACGCUGGCGGCGUGCCUAAUACAUGCAAGUCGAGCGAACGGACGAGAAGCUUGCUUCUCUGAUGUUAGCGGCGGACGGGUGAGUAACACGUGGAUAACCUACCUAUAAGACUGGGAUAACUUCGGGAAACCGUAGCUAAUACCGGAUAAUAUUUUGAACCGCAUGGUUCAAAAGUGAAAGACGGUCUUGCUGUCACUUAUAGAUGGAUCCGCGCUGCAUUAGCUAGUUGGUAAGGUAACGGCUUACCAAGGCAACGAUGCAUAGCCGACCUGAGAGGGUGAUAGGCCACACUGAAACUAAGACACGGUCAGACUCCUACGGGAGGCAGCAGUAGGGAAUCUUCCGCAAUGGGCGAAAGCCUGACGGAGCAACGCCGCGUGAGUGAUGAAGGUCUUCGGAUCGUAAAACUCUGUUAUUAGGGAAGAACAUAUGUGUAAGUAACUGUGCACAUCUUGACGGUACCUAAUCAGAAAGCCACGGCUAACUACGUG
This 496-nucleotide ribosomal RNA is filed under the name uncultured bacterium. RNAcentral's name for it is "partial 16S ribosomal RNA". It matches the Rfam family "Bacterial small subunit ribosomal RNA", at positions 28 to 507 of the family's 1533-position model. The record is from RNAcentral.